This 375-nucleotide ribosomal RNA is filed under the name uncultured bacterium. RNAcentral describes it as "bacterial SSU rRNA". It matches the Rfam family "Bacterial small subunit ribosomal RNA", at positions 131 to 507 of the family's 1533-position model. The record is from RNAcentral.
UUUAUCUGGAGGAUAGCCUUUCGAAAGGAAGAUUAAUACUCAUAAUAUAUUGAUUGGCAUCAAUUGAUAUUGAAAGCUCCGGCGGAUAGAGAUGGGCACGCGCAAGAUUAGUUAGUUGGUGAGGUAACGGCUCACCAAGACGAUGAUCUUUAGGGGCCUGAGAGGGUGAUCCCCCACACUGGUACUGAGACACGGACCAGACUCCUACGGGAGGCAGCAGUGAGGAAUAUUGGUCAAUGGGUGCAAGCCUGAACCAGCCAUCCCGCGUGAAGGACGACUGCCCUAUGGGUUGUAAACUUCUUUUGUAUAGGGAUAAACCUACCCUCGUGAGGGUAGCUGAAGGUACUAUACGAAUAAGCACCGGCUAACUCCGUG